This 477-nucleotide ribosomal RNA is filed under the name uncultured organism. RNAcentral's name for it is "partial 16S ribosomal RNA". It matches the Rfam family "Bacterial small subunit ribosomal RNA", at positions 331 to 799 of the family's 1533-position model. The record is from RNAcentral.
GUACACUCCUACGGGAGGCAGCAGUGGGGAAUAUUGCACAAUGGGCGCAAGCCUGAUGCAGCCAUGCCGCGUGUAUGAAGAAGGCCUUCGGGUUGUAAAGUACUUUCAGCGGGGAGGAAGGCAAUACGGUUAAUAACCGUGUUGAUUGACGUUACCCGCAGAAGAAGCACCGGCUAACUCCGUGCCAGCAGCCGCGGUAAUACGGAGGGUGCAAGCGUUAAUCGGAAUUACUGGGCGUAAAGCGCACGCAGGCGGUCUGUCAAGUCGGAUGUGAAAUCCCCGGGCUCAACCUGGGAACUGCAUUCGAAACUGGCAGGCUUGAGUCUUGUAGAGGGGGGUAGAAUUCCAGGUGUAGCGGUGAAAUGCGUAGAGAUCUGGAGGAAUACCGGUGGCGAAGGCGGCCCCCUGGACAAAGACUGACGCUCAGGUGCGAAAGCGUGGGGAGCAAACAGGAUUAGAAACCCCAGUAGUCCCAUG